GUGAAUAUUUGUAUUAGAACUAUUUCUUUUUCUUUCAUAUUUAAAUGGUUGCUGCAAAAAAUUAACAAUAGCAGCCCAUGACUGGAAAAAAUUUUGUAAAUGUCACCAUUUAACAAAGGCUUCGAUUGGCAUUUAUAUGAAUUAAUUAAAACGCAAAUAUCUUUUGCAGUCUUGUGGUCCAUCUAAAGGAAAGAAA
Molecule: non-coding RNA, 196 nt
Organism: Hydra vulgaris (swiftwater hydra)
Lineage: Eukaryota; Metazoa; Cnidaria; Hydrozoa; Anthoathecata; Hydridae
Source: RefSeq, a predicted model, not a curated record